This 349-nucleotide ribosomal RNA is filed under the name uncultured bacterium. Its description in RNAcentral is "bacterial SSU rRNA". It matches the Rfam family "Bacterial small subunit ribosomal RNA", at positions 8 to 350 of the family's 1533-position model. The record is from RNAcentral.
AGAGUUUGAUCAUGGCUCAGGAUGAACGCUGGCGGCGUGCCUAACACAUGCAAGUCGAACGGACUUACAUUGAAGCCCAGCGAUAUGUAAGUUAGUGGCGGACGGGUGAGUAACGCGUGGGUAACCUGCCUUGUACUGGGGGACAACAGUUGGAAACGACUGCUAAUACCGCAUAAGCGCGCAGCUUCGCAUGAAGCAGUGUGAAAAACUCCGGUGGUACAAGAUGGACCCGCGUCUGAUUAGCUGGUUGGUGAGGUAACGGCCCACCAAGGCAACGAUCAGUAGCCGGCCUGAGAGGGUGAACGGCACAUUGGGACUAGNGACACGGCCCAAACUCCUACGGGAGGCA